GGAUGGAUAGCUCAGUGGUAGAGCACUUGCUUUGCAUGCAGGAGGUCUUAAAUUCCAUCCC
Molecule: transfer RNA, 61 nt
Filed under: Heterocephalus glaber (naked mole-rat)
Lineage: Eukaryota; Metazoa; Chordata; Mammalia; Rodentia; Bathyergidae
Rfam family: tRNA
About the family: Transfer RNA (tRNA) molecules are approximately 80 nucleotides in length.
Source: Rfam by way of RNAcentral